GCCAGGUGUGGUGGCACAUUCCUGUAAUCCCAGCUACUGGGGAGGCUGAGGCAGGAGGAUCCCAAGUUCAAGGCCAGUCUUGGCAACUUAGCAAGAUAAUACUCUGUCUCAA
RNAcentral lists this small RNA (112 nucleotides) under Marmota monax (woodchuck). Lineage: Eukaryota; Metazoa; Chordata; Mammalia; Rodentia; Sciuridae. The record is from RNAcentral.